This 1005-nucleotide small RNA is filed under the name Pongo abelii (Sumatran orangutan). RNAcentral's name for it is "retained intron". Lineage: Eukaryota; Metazoa; Chordata; Mammalia; Primates; Hominidae. The record is from RNAcentral.
GAUUUGACUCAGAGAUUCUCUUUCGUCCACAGACAGUCAUCUCAGGAGCAGAAAGAAAAGAGCUCCCAAAUGCUAUAUCUAUUCAGGUGCUCUCAAGAACAAUGGAAUAUCAUCCUGAUUUAGAAAAUUUGGAUGAAGAUGGAUAUACUCAAUUACAUUUCGACUCUCGAAGCAAUACCAGGAUGGCUGUUGUUUCAGAGAAAGGAUCGUGUGCUGCAUCUCCUCCUUGGCGCCUCAUUGCUGUGAUUUUGGGAAUCCUAUGCUUGGUAAUACUGGUGAUAGCUGUGGUCCUGGGUACCAUGGGGGUUCUUUCCAGCCCUUGUCCUCCUAAUUGGAUUAUAUAUGAGAAGAGCUGUUAUCUAUUCAGCAUGUCACUAAAUUCCUGGGAUGGAAGUAAAAGACAAUGCUCGCAACUGGGCUCUAAUCUCCUAAAGAUAGACAGCUCAAAUGAAUUGGUAAGUGUAGACUUCUGUUAUAGUUAUCUGUGGUCUGUAUCCAGAAGGAAGAUAGAGGGAGAUUCCAGGUAAUGACAAUUUUUCCUAAAAUGAAGUCUUUUUUUUUUUUUUGAGGCAGAGUCUCUCUCUGUUGCCCAAGCUAGAGUGCAGUGAAGCCUUGACAUCCCAGGGUCAAGUGACCCUCCCACCUCAGCCUCCUGAGUAGUUAGGACUACAAGGUGCACCACCACGCUCAUCUAAUUUUUUUUUGUAUUUUUCAUAGAGACGAGGUUUCUCCAUAUCAUCUGGGCUGGUCUCAAAAUCCUGGGCACAAGCGAUCUGCCUACCUCGAUCUCCCAAAGUGUUGGGAUUACAGGUGUAAGCCACCACACUUGGCCAAAAGUAAUUUUUAAUAUCUCUAUAAUUAUAAUCAUAGCAUGCCUUAAACACAUAAAGUGCAUAGUAUAUGCUUUUAUUUUUAACUAAUUAAAAAAAAACUAUGUUUCACCUUAAAACAAAUCCUUUCAAACACACUCCAUGUAUGCAUGACUACAAUAAUCAGGCCACUACC